UUCCUAUAUAAAGAAAUCUCCUGUUACUCUUUACCUGGCUGGAUACUCACUAACACAGGCUUUUCUGAUGUUGCACCGAAAUCUGUGACCCAUCAAAAUGUGUGCUCUGUAGCGCUGUCACCCUGCCGUAAAUCAUUUUGUAAUUUCA
This is a long non-coding RNA of Etheostoma cragini (Arkansas darter), 148 nucleotides long. RefSeq lists it as uncharacterized. NCBI's taxonomy places the organism in Eukaryota, Metazoa, Chordata, Actinopteri, Perciformes, Percidae. The transcript has 3 exons. The record is from RefSeq and is a predicted model, not a curated record.